GUCGAACGGUCUCGUAAGGGACAGUGGCAAACGGGUGAUUCACACGUGGGUGACCUGCCGUGGAGUGGGGAAUAACCCCGCGAAAGCGGGGCUAAUACCGCAUGUAGUUUAGGGAGUGAAGUUUCUAGACUAAAGCCUUCGGGUGCUCUACGAGGGGCCUGCGUCCGAUUAGCUAGUUGGUGGGGUAAAGGCCUACCGAGGCGAUGAUCGGUAGCUGGUCUGAGAGGACGAUCAGCCACACUGGGACUGAGACACGGCCCAGACUCCUACGGGAGGCAGCAGUGGG
RNAcentral lists this unclassified non-coding RNA (286 nucleotides) under uncultured bacterium. RNAcentral describes it as "partial contains 16S ribosomal RNA and 16S-23S ribosomal RNA intergenic spacer region". It matches the Rfam family "Bacterial small subunit ribosomal RNA", at positions 61 to 358 of the family's 1533-position model. The record is from RNAcentral.